GACGAACGCUGGCGGCGUGCUUAACACAUGCAAGUCGAGCGGUAAGGCCCUUUCGGGGGUACACGAGCGGCGAACGGGUGGGUAACACGUGGGUGACCUGCCCUCAGCUCUGGGAUAAGCCUGGGAAACCGGGUCUAAUACUGGAUAUGACUCCAUGACGCAUGUUGUGGGGUGGAAAGCCUUGUGCGGCUGAGGAUGGGCCCGCGGCCUAUCAGCUUGUUGGUGGGGUGANGGCCUACCAAGGCGACGACGGGUAGCCGGCCUGAGAGGGCGACCGGCCACACUGGGACUGAGACACGGCCCAGACUCCUACGGGAGGCAGCAGUGGGGAAUCUUGCGCAAUGGGCGAAAGCCUGACGCAGCGACGCCGCGUGAGGGAUGACGGCCU
This 388-nucleotide ribosomal RNA is filed under the name uncultured bacterium. RNAcentral describes it as "bacterial SSU rRNA". It matches the Rfam family "Bacterial small subunit ribosomal RNA", at positions 28 to 417 of the family's 1533-position model. The record is from RNAcentral.